Molecule: ribosomal RNA, 370 nt
Filed under: uncultured organism
Description: bacterial SSU rRNA
Rfam family: Bacterial small subunit ribosomal RNA
Source: RNAcentral
CGAAGGGGGCUAGCGUUGUUCGGAAUUACUGGGCGUAAAGCGCGCGCAGGCGGUUCUUUAAGUCAGGGGUGAAAGCCCAGAGCUCAACUCUGGAAUUGCCUUUGAAACUAGAGAACUUGGGUACGGGAGAGGUGAGUGGAAUUCCGAGUGUAGAGGUGAAAUUCGUAGAUAUUCGGAAGAACACCAGUGGCGAAGGCGGCUCACUGGCCCGUUACCGACGCUCAGGCGCGACAGCGUGGGGAGCAAACAGGAUUAGAUACCCUGGUAGUCCACGCCGUAAACGAUGGAUGCUAGCCGUUGGUAAGCAUGCUUAUCAGUGGCGCAGCUAACGCAUUAAGCAUCCCGCCCGGGGAGUACGGCCGCAAGGUUG